This 497-nucleotide ribosomal RNA is filed under the name uncultured bacterium. Its description in RNAcentral is "partial 16S ribosomal RNA". It matches the Rfam family "Bacterial small subunit ribosomal RNA", at positions 28 to 507 of the family's 1533-position model. The record is from RNAcentral.
GAUGAACGCUGGCGGCGUGCCUAAUACAUGCAAGUCGAGCGAACAGAUGAGGAGCUUGCUCCUCUGACGUUAGCGGCGGACGGGUGAGUAACACGUGGAUAACCUACCUAUAAGACUGGGAUAACUACGGGAAACCGGAGCUAAUACCGGAUAAUAUAUUGAACCGCAUGGUUCAAUAGUGAAAGACGGUUUUGCUGUCACUUAUAGAUGGAUCCGCGCCGCAUUAGCUAGUUGGUAAGGUAACGGCUUACCAAGGCAACGAUGCGUAGCCGACCUGAGAGGGUGAUCGGCCACACUGGAACUGAGACACGGUCCAGACUCCUACGGGAGGCAGCAGUAGGGAAUCUUCCGCAAUGGGCGAAAGCCUGACGGAGUAACGCCGCGUGAGUGAUGAAGGUCUUCGGAUCGUAAAACUCUGUUAUUAGGGAAGAACAAAUGUGUAAGUAACUAUGCACGUCUUGACGGUACCUAAUCAGAAAGCCACGGCUAACUACGUG